Small nuclear RNA from Prionailurus viverrinus (fishing cat), 190 nucleotides. RefSeq annotates it as U2 spliceosomal RNA. The record is from RefSeq and is a predicted model, not a curated record. NCBI's taxonomy places the organism in Eukaryota, Metazoa, Chordata, Mammalia, Carnivora, Felidae. The transcript has a single exon.
AUCGCUUCUCGGCCUUUUGGCUAAGAUCAAGUGUAAAAUUUUGGUAUAAUUCCCCUGGGAAGUCACCUGGUCCUGAACUCUUGUUUGAUGGGAGAUUUUUGAUAACUGAUUCCGUUUCUUUACUGCUUACGGUCUCUUCAGAUUUUCUAUUUCUUCUUGUUUCAGUUUUCAGUAGUUCAUAGGUUUCUAU